CCCUUAGAUGUUCUAGGCCGCACGCGCGCUACACUGAUGCAUUCAACGAGCCUAUCCUUGACCGACAGGUCCGGGUAAUCUUUGAAUCUGCAUCGUGACGGGGAUAGAUUAUUGCAAUUAUUAAUCUUCAACGAGGAAUGCCUAGUAGGCGCAAGUCAUCAGCUUGCGUCGAUUACGUCCCUGCCCUUUGUACACACCGCCCGUCGCUCCUACCGAUUGGGUGUGCUGGUGAAAUGUUCGGAUCGGCCGUUUGUCGCGGUUUCCGCGGCUCGUGGCUGAGAAGUUCAUUAAACCCUCCCACCUAGAGGAAGGAGAAGUCGUAACA
RNAcentral lists this ribosomal RNA (325 nucleotides) under uncultured eukaryote. RNAcentral's name for it is "partial 18S ribosomal RNA". It matches the Rfam family "Eukaryotic small subunit ribosomal RNA", at positions 1470 to 1796 of the family's 1831-position model. The record is from RNAcentral.